AGAGUUUGAUCCUGGCUCAGGAUCAACGCUGGCGGCGUGCCUAAUGCAUGCAAGUCGAGCGGGGUGCUCUUCGGAGCACUUACGCGGCGGACGGGUGCGGAACACGUGGGCAACCUGCCCCGAGGUGGGGGAUAGCCGGUGGAAACACCGGGUAAUUCCGCAUACGGUCACUGGCUGGAGGGCUGGUGAGGAAAGGGUCUUCGGACUCGCCUUGGGAGGGGCCUGCGGCCGAUUAGCUAGACGGUGGGGUAACGGCCUACCGUGGCGAUGAUCGGUAGCUGGUCUGAGAGGACGGCCAGCCACACGGGGACUGAGACACGGCCCCGACUCCUACGGGAGGCAGCAGCAAGGAAUCUUCCGCAAUGGGCGAAAGCCUGACGGAGCAACGCCGCGUGUGGGAUGACGCCUUUCGGGGUGUAAACCACUUUUCUCAGGGAAGAAGCACUGACGGUACCUGAGGAAUAAGGACCGGCUAACUACGUGCCAGCAGCCGCGGUAAUACGUAGGGUCCGAGCGUUGUCCGGAGUUACUGGGCGUAAAGCGCGCGCAGGCGGCGGUAUAAGCAUGGCGUGAAAGCCCCAGGCUCAACCUGGGAGGGUCGUCGUGGACUGUACCGCUUGAGGGCGGUAGGGGCUGGUGGAAUGCCUGGUGUAGUGGUGAAAUGCGUAGAGAUCAGGCGGAACACCCGUGGCGAAGGCGGCCAGCUGGGCCGUCCCUGACGCUGAGGCGCGAAGGCGUGGGGAGCGAACGGGAUUAGAUACCCCCGUAGUCC
Molecule: ribosomal RNA, 772 nt
Filed under: uncultured Sphaerobacter sp.
Lineage: Bacteria; Pseudomonadati; Thermomicrobiota; Thermomicrobia; Sphaerobacterales; Sphaerobacteraceae
Description: bacterial SSU rRNA
Rfam family: Bacterial small subunit ribosomal RNA
Source: RNAcentral